UACGAAGGGUGCAAGCGUUACUCGGAAUUACUGGGCGUAAAGGGUGCGUAGGCGGCGCGGUAAGUCGGGUGUGAAAUCUCGGAGCUUAACUCCGAAACUGCAUUCGAUACUGCCGUGCUUGAGGACUGGAGAGGAGACUGGAAUUUACGGUGUAGCGGUGAAAUGCGUAGAUAUCGUAAGGAAGACCAGUGGCGAAGGCGGGUCUCUGGACAGUUCCUGACGCUGAGGCACGAAGGUCAGGGGAGCAAACGGG
RNAcentral lists this ribosomal RNA (253 nucleotides) under uncultured bacterium. RNAcentral describes it as "partial 16S ribosomal RNA". It matches the Rfam family "Bacterial small subunit ribosomal RNA", at positions 524 to 776 of the family's 1533-position model. The record is from RNAcentral.